GCCAUUGACAGUAACAAACUGGGCCACCGGAACUAUUUAAAGUGAGAUUCUGGUUGAUAAUGAAACAGCAUAAGAAGCAGACGCAAUCAUGCAAACACCGCUGAUUUUGAACUUCUCAGCCCAAGCCGGCGGGAGCUUUGGUGGCGCAACCGUCUGAGCAAUCGCCUUUCACCUCUGACAUUGCGGGUCCGAUUUUGGAUACGGUCGACACAUGUAAAAAGCGUCUGUCAACGCUCUGCCGAAAGUGGUGGGCAGGGCGCUUAUAUAGAGGGCGGUGAAACGGCUAUAGGCGCGCCGAUCGAUGUGUGAUGCAAUGAACUGGUAACGAGUUUGUUGUGGUUAC
Molecule: non-coding RNA, 343 nt
Organism: Paramuricea clavata
Lineage: Eukaryota; Metazoa; Cnidaria; Anthozoa; Malacalcyonacea; Plexauridae
Source: the annotation of a GenBank genome assembly